CAAUAGCGUAUAUUAAAGUUGUUGCAGUUAAAAAGCUCGUAGUUGGAUUUCGGGGCAGCCUGGCUGGUUCGCCGCAAGGCGAGUACUGGUCAGCCGCCCUUCCUCUCGAAAGCCCCGACUGCUCUUCGUUGCAGUGGUCGGGUAGUUCGGGACGUUUACUUUGAAAAAAUUAGAGUGUUCAAGGCAGGCCUACGCCUGAAUACAUUAGCAUGGAAUAAUGGAAGAGGACCUCGGUCCUAUUUUGUUGGUUUCCAGGGCCGAAGUAAUGAUUAAGAGGGACAGUUGGGGGCAUUCGUAUUUAAUUGUCAGAGGUGAAAUUCUCGGAUUUAUGAAAGACGAACAACUGCGAAAGCAUUUGCCAAGGAUGUUUUCAUUAA
Molecule: ribosomal RNA, 377 nt
Filed under: uncultured eukaryote
Lineage: Eukaryota
Description: partial 18S ribosomal RNA
Rfam family: Eukaryotic small subunit ribosomal RNA
Source: RNAcentral